RNAcentral lists this ribosomal RNA (763 nucleotides) under uncultured Streptococcus sp. RNAcentral describes it as "bacterial SSU rRNA". It matches the Rfam family "Bacterial small subunit ribosomal RNA", at positions 28 to 776 of the family's 1533-position model. The record is from RNAcentral. Lineage: Bacteria; Bacillati; Bacillota; Bacilli; Lactobacillales; Streptococcaceae.
GACGAACGCUGGCGGCGUGCCUAAUACAUGCAAGUAGAACGCUGAAGGAGGAGCUUGCUUCUCCGGAUGAGUUGCGAACGGGUGAGUAACGCGUAGGUAACCUGCCUGGUAGCGGGGGAUAACUAUUGGAAACGAUAGCUAAUACCGCAUAACAGUAGAUAUUGCAUGAUAUCUGCUUGAAAGGUGCAAUUGCAUCACUACCAGAUGGACCUGCGUUGUAUUAGCUAGUUGGUGGGGUAACGGCUCACCAAGGCGACGAUACAUAGCCGACCUGAGAGGGUGAUCGGCCACACUGGGACUGAGACACGGCCCAGACUCCUACGGGAGGCAGCAGUAGGGAAUCUUCGGCAAUGGACGGAAGUCUGACCGAGCAACGCCGCGUGAGUGAAGAAGGUUUUCGGAUCGUAAAGCUCUGUUGUAAGAGAAGAACGAGUGUGAGAGUGGAAAGUUCACACUGUGACGGUAUCUUACCAGAAAGGGACGGCUAACUACGUGCCAGCAGCCGCGGUAAUACGUAGGUCCCGAGCGUUGUCCGGAUUUAUUGGGCGUAAAGCGAGCGCAGGCGGUUAGAUAAGUCUGAAGUUAAAGGCUGUGGCUUAACCAUAGUACGCUUUGGAAACUGUUUAACUUGAGUGCAAGAGGGGAGAGUGGAAUUCCAUGUGUAGCGGUGAAAUGCGUAGAUAUAUGGAGGAACACCGGUGGCGAAAGCGGCUCUCUGGCUUGUAGCUGACGCUGAGGCUCGAAAGCGUGGGGAGCAAACAGG